GAAUCAAUAAUGCACGGGAACAUGCCACAGUUGGCUGAAUCUGUCUUCUAACAGUUGCUAAUUGCCAGUGUUUCAAAUAUAAUUGAAAUACGAGUACCCAAGAAUAAUUUAAUUCAUUAUAUUUUGGACAGGAUAGGAAGUCCGUUGUCUGUGUUAUCUUUACGAAGAUUGAUAGACUUGGGAUGUCGUCUGAUAGUCUACAUUU
RNAcentral lists this small nucleolar RNA (205 nucleotides) under Naumovozyma dairenensis CBS 421. Its description in RNAcentral is "Small nucleolar RNA snR34". It matches the Rfam family "Small nucleolar RNA snR34". Lineage: Eukaryota; Fungi; Ascomycota; Saccharomycetes; Saccharomycetales; Saccharomycetaceae. The record is from Rfam by way of RNAcentral.